UGCAGUAUGUAACUUUUAUAAAAAAUAUAUAUUUUUUAACAUAUAUGUUGAAACUGUCACUGUUGUGACAUAUGCCUUCUCCUAGUGCUAACUAGAAACAACCAAUCAGAGCCAGGAGUCGUAGUGAUGUCAAUCAUGCCCAUUUAAACCCCUUUUCCUUUUUUUCCUUUCUGCUAUGAUAAAGCUUCUUCUUGACAUGAACCUGUCGUGAAUGCUAACUAUAGUUUGCACAGCCACCAAUAAUAUCUUCCCUGUAAUGGUAAGUUGUUUCUCCUCCCUUAGCACAUUUAGCAGGAAGUACAUGAGGAUGACUGACAGUGAUAAGCCCCUCCUCUUGGCUCUGAUUGGAUAUCCCUGGUGCUUUU
Poecilia latipinna (sailfin molly) is the source of this 365-nucleotide long non-coding RNA. RefSeq lists it as uncharacterized. The record is from RefSeq and is a predicted model, not a curated record. Lineage: Eukaryota; Metazoa; Chordata; Actinopteri; Cyprinodontiformes; Poeciliidae. The transcript is spliced from 3 exons.